CAUCUUAAUGAUGACUACAUUGUAAAUUCUUGAUAGGAAGAGUAUGAAACAUAAUGAGUACUAAAACAACCAAGCUGACAAAACA
Drosophila melanogaster (fruit fly) is the source of this 85-nucleotide small nucleolar RNA. It matches the Rfam family "Small nucleolar RNA Me28S-U3344". Rfam says of the family: Me28S-Um3344 is a member of the C/D class of snoRNA which contain the C (UGAUGA) and D (CUGA) box motifs. This family directs 2'-O-methylation of 28S U-3344. The record is from Rfam. NCBI's taxonomy places the organism in Eukaryota, Metazoa, Arthropoda, Insecta, Diptera, Drosophilidae.